CACACACACACACACACACACACACAGAGUCAUGUAUGACUGCAAAUUGUGUUUAUUAGUGACUGUCCUUAAUGUAACUACAGUAGUGACUGUCCUUAACUCAGUCUGUAACUACAGUGGUGACUGUCCUUAACCCAGUCUGUAACUACAGUCGUGACUGUCCUUAACCCAGUCUAUAACUACAGUGGUGACUGUCCUUAACACAGUCUGUAACUACAGUGGUGACUGUCCUUAACUCUCUGUACACAAGCCAAUACAAGAAACCAAUGAAUGUCCCAAGAGAGCACAACCCACUUUUGUGUCCUCAUCAUUAAGAAAAAGAACAAUAUAAUUCAUCACCAUAACACGGCUUGUUACGUGUUGCUUGAUGACACAUAGUACAGUACACUUUUACAUAGCACUGAUGAUGAUUCAUCCACACAGAUGGCAUUUGGGUGACCAGAGAGACUGCUAGUUCCAUUCUCCUUACUCAGCAACAUUAUUUAUAUCCCUUCACAAUAAGCUGCCUGUGUAUUUUGGCAUCAGACGCAGGGUCGCCAUGGGUCAGCUCGUAGUUCAAAGGCCUCGUAAAGGCCACAUCAAGCAAAUUGUCUGUGUUGUUUGGGUAAAAGUUAAUUAUAGGGCUGAGAAAUGUGUACACUGUGAGAAGGUUCACACACUCCACAUAUUAUCAUUCAUCUGACCUUAUGGGUCAGGGGACUGACAUUCCAUACAGCAUGUGAAUCAGCAACAAAUGAAUACUUGGUAAACUGUCUGGACUGGUGAGCUAAUUCAGGGGUGGAAACAGUGCUGUAUCUUCAGCUCGCCACUGUACUCAAACUUCAGGGAGAAAGACAUUGGUUGGUUAUUGGCAGACGUUUAUUACAUAAAAAGCUAAAUCUCCACCCAUCUGUCAUUGAACUUGCCUGUGCACAUUGGGGCUUGUCAUGCUUAGUUUUUAUUUUAUUUUAUUUAACCUUUAUUUAACUAGGCAAGUCAGUUAAGAACACAUUCUUAUUUACAAUGACGGCCUACACCGGCCAAAACCCGGACAACGCUGGGCCAAUUGUACGCCGCCCUAUGGGCUUCCCAAUCAUGGUCAGAGACCUGGCCGUGUGGUUCCAGGACAACAACCUCCCCUUCAAUGUGAUCAAGACUAAGGAGAUGAUUGUGGACUACUGGAAAAAGAGGACCGAGCACGCCCCCAUUCUCAUCGACAUGGCUGCAGUGGAGCAGGUUGAGAGUUUCAAGUUCCUUGGUGUCCACAUCACCAACAAACUAACAUGGUCCAAUCACACCAAGACAGCCGUGAAGAGGGCAUGACAAAACCUAUUCACCCUCAGGAGACUGGAAAGAUUUGUCAUGAAGUUAGAGGUCAGCUUUACAACAGUCUUCCCGGUAUUGUCCCCUGCCCGACUCUGGACUACUUUUCCGCCUGCCUGAUCAUCCUGCCUGCCCUGACCUUGACUCUGCCUGCCCUGACCUUGACUCUGCCUGCCCUGACCUUGACUCUGCCUGCCCUGACCUUGAUUCUGC
Molecule: long non-coding RNA, 1515 nt
Organism: Oncorhynchus tshawytscha (Chinook salmon)
Lineage: Eukaryota; Metazoa; Chordata; Actinopteri; Salmoniformes; Salmonidae
Source: Ensembl